AAUAGAUACCCAGGUAGUCCACGCCGUAAACGAUGAGUGCUAAGUGUUAGAGGGUUUCCGCCCUUUAGUGCUGCAGCUAACGCAUUAAGCACUCCGCCUGGGGAGUACGGCCGCAAGGCUGAAACUCAAAGGAAUUGACGGGGGCCCGCACAAGCGGUGGAGCAUGUGGUUUAAUUCGAAGCAACGCGAAGAACCUUACCAGGUCUUGACAUCCUCUGCCAACCCUAGAGAUAGGGCGUUCCCCUUCGGGGGACAGAGUGACAGGUGGUGCAUGGUUGUCGUCAGCUCGUGUCGUGAGAUGUUGGGUUAAGUCCCGCAACGAGCGCAACCCUUGAUCUUAGUUGCCAGCAUUUAGUUGGGCACUCUAAGGUGACUGCCGGUGACAAACCGGAGGAAGGUGGGGAUGACGUCAAAUCAUCAUGCCCCUUAUGACCUGGGCUACACACGUGCUACAAUGGAUGGUACAAAGAGCUGCGAACCCGCGAGGGUAAGCCAAUCUCAUAAAGCCAUUCUCAGUUCGGAUUGUAGG
Molecule: ribosomal RNA, 529 nt
Filed under: uncultured bacterium
Lineage: Bacteria
Description: bacterial SSU rRNA
Rfam family: Bacterial small subunit ribosomal RNA
Source: RNAcentral